UAGUUAUAUGCUUGUCUAAAAGAUUAAGCCAUGCAUGUCUAAGUAUAAACCAAUUCAUACGGUGAAACUGCGAAUGGCUCAUUAUAUCAGUUAUAGUUUAUUUGAUGAUGUACUCCACAUGGAUAACCGUGGUAAUUCUAGAGCUAAUACAUGCAAUUAAAGCGUUUAACGCUGUAUUUAUUAGAUAAGCCAACAGCGGUCUCGGCCGUUUCGUUGAUUCAUGAUAACUUUACGAAUCGCCUUGCGCGAUGUAUCAUUCAAAUUUCUGCCCUAUCAA
This 277-nucleotide ribosomal RNA is filed under the name uncultured eukaryote. Its description in RNAcentral is "partial 18S ribosomal RNA". It matches the Rfam family "Eukaryotic small subunit ribosomal RNA", at positions 21 to 318 of the family's 1831-position model. The record is from RNAcentral.